UACGGGGGGGGCAAGCGUUGUUCGGAAUUACUGGGCGUAAAGGGCUCGUAGGCGGCCAACUAAGUCGGAUGUGAAAUCCCCAGGCUUAACCUGGGAACUGCAUCCGAUACUGGAUGGCUUGAAUCCGGGAGAGGGAUGCAGAAUUCCAGGUGUAGCGGUGAAAUGCGUAGAUAUCUGGAGGAAUACCGGUGGCGAAGGCGGCUCACUGGCCCGGUACUGACGCUGAGGUGCGAAAGCGUGGGGAGCAAACAGG
This 253-nucleotide ribosomal RNA is filed under the name uncultured bacterium. RNAcentral's name for it is "partial 16S ribosomal RNA". It matches the Rfam family "Bacterial small subunit ribosomal RNA", at positions 524 to 776 of the family's 1533-position model. The record is from RNAcentral. RNAcentral also lists the same sequence under 1 other name.